Molecule: ribosomal RNA, 2485 nt
Filed under: Sphingobacteriales bacterium
Lineage: Bacteria; Pseudomonadati; Bacteroidota; Sphingobacteriia; Sphingobacteriales
Description: partial 23S ribosomal RNA
Rfam family: Bacterial large subunit ribosomal RNA
Source: RNAcentral
UAAAGCAAAUAAGGGCGUAUGGUGGAUGCCUUGGCUCUGUGAGACGAAGAAGGACGUGGUAAGCUGCGAUAAGCUGCGGGGAGCUGCACACAAGCAUUAUAUCCGCAGAUUUCCGAAUGGGACAACCCGGCACACUGAAGGUGUGUCAUCCGAAAGGAAGUCAACCUCCUGAACUGAAACAUCUAAGUAGGGAGAGGAAAAGAAAAUAACAAUGAUUCCCUGAGUAGUGGCGAGCGAAAAGGGAAAAGCCUAAACUUCGGCGGCGUGCCGCCGGAGGGUUGUAGGACUGCAUUUAGAAAUUCUCAUCAAAUUGAAUCUUCUGGAAAGUUGAGCCAUAGCGGGUGAUAGCCCCGUAAAUACAAAUUGAGAAGGACGAGCAGUAUCCUGAGUACGGCGGGACCGGAGGAAUCCUGCCUGAAUCUGCCAGCACCAUCUGGUAAGGCUAAAUACUCCACAGAGACCGAUAGUGAACCAGUACCGUAAGGGAAAGGUGAAAAGCACCCUAAACAAGGGAGUGAAAUAGUACCUGAAACCGUACGCCUACAAGCGGUCGGAGUCCAGCAAUGGAUGACGGCGUGCCUUUUGCAUAAUGAGCCUACGAGUUGCUCCUCACUAGCGAGGUUAAGUUCUUAAGUAACGGAGCCGUAGCGAAAGCGAGUCCAAAUAGGGCGUUUAGUUAGUGGGGGCAGACGCGAAACUUUGUGAUCUAUCCAUGGGCAGGUUGAAGGUGUGGUAACACACACUGGAGGACCGAACUCAUUAACGUUGAAAAGUUAUGGGAUGACCUGUGGAUAGGGGUGAAAGGCCAAUCAAACUGAGAGAUAGCUCGUUCUCCCCGAAAUGUUUUUAGGAACAGCCUCGGAUAUAAGAAGUGUGUUAGAGGUAGAGCUACUGAUUGGGCUAGGGGGCUUCACCGCCUACCAAACCCUGACAAACUCCGAAUGCUAACACAUAUCUCCGGGAGUGAGGCUGCGGGCGCUAAGGUCCGUGGCCGAGAGGGAAAUAACCCAGAUUAGCAGCUAAGGUCCCUAAACGUAUGUUAAGUUGGUCAAACGAGGUGGGGCUUCUAUAACAGCCAGGAUGUUGGCUUGGAAGCAGCCAUUCAUUUAAAGAGUGCGUAACAGCUCACUGGUCGAGAGGCCCUGCACGGAAAAUGAUCGGGCAUCAAACAUACUACCGAAGCUCUAAGAUUGCCACUUACGUGGUAUAUCGGUAGGGGAGCAUUGAAACAGCAUUGAAGGUGUGCGGCGACGCAUGCUGGAGCGGUUUCAAAAGAAAAUGUAGGCAUAAGUAACGAUAAAUAGAGUGAAAAACUCUAUCGCCGUAAGUCCAAGGUUUCCUGAUCAAUGUUAAUCAGAUCAGGGUUAGUCGGGUCCUUAGGCAAACCCGAAAGGGGUAGCUGAUGGAAAACUGGUUAAUAUUCCAGUACCCGCUUUAGUUUCGAUGGGGUGACGGGGUAGUGAAAGACCCGCGGGGCAACGGAUGUUCCCGUUAAAGCGUGUAGAUAUAUCUUUUGCAGGUAAAUCCGCAAGGGAUGUCGAACGUGAUAGUACUGCAAAGCUUCGGCAGAGCAGAUAGUGGUCCUAAUCAAACCUCCGAGAAAAACCUCUAAGGUGUGGCUAAAGCGGCCCGUACCGUAAACCGACACAGGUGGACGGGAAGAAUAUUCUAAGGCGCUCGGGUGAGCCGUGGAGAAGGAACUAGGCAAAUUGACGCUGUAACUUCGGGAUAAAGCGUACCAUCUUCGGAUGGUCUCAGUAAAAUGGUUCAACCAACUGUUUAGCAAAAACACAGGGCCCUGCAAAAUCGAANNNNNNNNNNNNNNNNNNNNNNNNNNNNNNNNNNNNNNNNNNNNNNNNNNUAAGUUCCGACCUGCACGAAUGGUCUAAUGAGUUGAACACUGUCUCCUCCACGAGCCCGGUGAAAUUGUAGUAUCGGUGAAGAUGCCGGUUACCCGUCACGGGACGGAAAGACCCCGUGAACCUUCACUACAACUUUGCAUUGAUUUCGAGUCACAGAUGUGUAGUAUAGUUGGGACGCUAUGAAGCGGUGCCGCCAGGUGUCGUGGAGCGGUCGGUGAAAUACCAACCUUCUGUUACUUGGAACCUAACCCCUUGCGGGGGACAGUGCAUGGUGGGUAGUUUGACUGGGGUGGUCGCCUCCUAAAGAGUAACGGAGGCUCGCAAAGGUACCCUCAGUACGGUUGGUAAUCGUACGAAGAGCGUAUUAGUAUAAGGGUGCUUGACUGUGAGGCAUACAAGCCGAGCAGGUGCGAAAGCAGGCUAAAGUGAUCCGGCGGUUCUGCAUGGAAGGGCCGUCGCUCAAAGGAUAAAAGGUACUCCGGGGAUAACAGGCUGAUCUCCCCCAAGAGCUCAUAUCGACGGGGAGGUUUGGCACCUCGAUGUCGGUUCGUCACAUCCUGGGGCUGGAGAAGGUCCCAAGGGUUCGGCUGUUCGCCGAUUAAAGUGGCACGUGAACUGGGUUC